This 410-nucleotide RNase P RNA is filed under the name Erythrobacter sp. 3-20A1M. RNAcentral's name for it is "Bacterial RNase P class A". It matches the Rfam family "Bacterial RNase P class A". Rfam says of the family: Ribonuclease P (RNase P) is a ubiquitous endoribonuclease, found in archaea, bacteria and eukarya as well as chloroplasts and mitochondria. Its best characterised activity is the generation of mature 5'-ends of tRNAs by cleaving the 5'-leader elements of precursor-tRNAs. Lineage: Bacteria; Pseudomonadati; Pseudomonadota; Alphaproteobacteria; Sphingomonadales; Erythrobacteraceae. The record is from Rfam by way of RNAcentral.
CCAGGGGGCCGGGCAGCCGCGGGCGGAGCGAUCCGUCCGAGGAAAGUCCGGGCUCCACGAAACGAGGGUGGCGGGUAACGCCCGCCGGCAUCGGACCGUCGGUCCGGCGUCAGGGACAGUGCCACAGAGAGCAGACGGCUGGCCUUCGGGCCGGUCACGGUGAAAGGGUGCGGUAAGAGCGCACCGCGCGCGCCGGCAAUGGCCGCGGCAUGGCAAACCCCACCCGGAGCAAGGCCGCAUAGGGGCCUCGCGCCUCAGAAAGAGGCAGGGGCGUUUCGCCCCGAGAGGCCCGGGUUGGCUGCUCGAGCCAUGGAGCGAUCCAUGGCCCAGAUGAAUGGCUGCCCCCGCGGCGCCGGUCGGAAACGAUACCGGUCGCGGGACAGAACCCGGCUUACAGGCCCCCUGGCAUC